This 374-nucleotide unclassified non-coding RNA is filed under the name uncultured Bacteroidales bacterium. Its description in RNAcentral is "contains 16S-23S intergenic spacer region". The record is from RNAcentral. Lineage: Bacteria; Pseudomonadati; Bacteroidota; Bacteroidia; Bacteroidales.
UCACAUCUUGCGAUGGCAGUCCCGCCAGAGUGCCCAGCAUGACCUGAUGGCAACUGGCGGCAAGGGUUGCGCUCGUUAUGGCACUUAAGCCGACACCUCACGGCACGAGCUGACGACAACCAUGCAGCACCUACAUGCAUGCCCGAAGGAAGAAAAGAUCUCUCUUAACUGUCAUGCACAUUUCAAGCCCGGGUAAGGUUCCUCGCGUAUCAUCGAAUUAAACCACAUGUUCCUCCGCUUGUGCGGGCCCCCGUCAAUUCCUUUGAGUUUCACCGUUGCCGGCGUACUCCCCAGGUGGAAUGCUUAAUGGUUUCCCUCAGUCACUGACAGCGUGUCGCCAAUGACCAGCAUUCAUCGUUUACUGUGCGGACUAC